CUGUUGCCAUCAGGUUUUCAAGCUGAGGCAACAAACCCUAAAGGAUGCGUGGGGUUUGUAGGCUGAAUGUCUGCCUAUUAAAAGCAUGCCUGCAAGAAGAGCAUACAGGUGGGCUGUGCUGCUCAGGACAGCAGGAACCAACACACGUCCACGGGAUUUUGUGUUUUGGAGCAAGUAGUCUCUGGGGUGCAACUGGGAGCCCCAGCCUUGGGGACAUGCUGUGGCACUGUCCCCACCUGCAGGGACAUGGGCUCAGAGCCCACCAGAGAUGCACCCCAACCAGAGCUGCAUCACCUGCACAACAAUUCGGGUUUGCCCCUCCCGCCCCUGUGGCCAUAGCAAGCAACCACGAACCGACAGCCGAAACACAGGGUGAAGCUCCUGAAGUUGUCUGCCGUCAGACAACCCUUGGACUCAGAGGGGAGGGAAAGGAUCACCUCCCUCGGCCUGCUGGUGAUACGUUGCCUAAUGCAGCCAAAAGUACUGUUAGCCUCCUUGGUGUCAAGGCCACAUUGCUGACUCAUGUUCAGCUUGGUGUCCACCAGGACUCCUUGGUCCUUUUCUGCAACUUUUCUCCUCUCCACACUGUUUGGAAAACCUCUGGUAUGGCUGCAAUGAGCACAGAAAGCCAGCAAAAGCCACUUGUAGCCAACACUUCUAUUUUCAUGAAACAUUAAAGUUUCUAUCCUAAUUUGCCCAAUCUGGACUGAAUGACAGUGACAAAAUCUGUAAUGAUUUUUUUUCUCCUGCUGACAACUGGCUGGGAAUAACACAGGCAGCAGUCAGCAGUGCCAUGGUGUGUUGGGAGCUGGAGCACAACCAAGCAUCAUCAGCGGGAUGGGAGACAAUUUAUGUGACAGGCUACUAAUGGACCUAAAUAUGACAACAAAAAUUACUUUCUAACCUGCCCGAGAGUUUAGAAACUGAAGAAUCUGCUUGGCCUCUCAGUCUGGGGGAGUCAUGCUACCCUUGCCCCCCCCCCCCCCAGUCAUCAUUACUGAAGAUUCAGAAGAAAUUUUUAAAAAGUACUGAAUCACCAGCAAUUUGGCUGAGACAGCUGGGAGUCAGGCUGUGGCACUGGCAGCCCAGCUCCCUCGUCUGUUGCCAUCUCUGCCAAGUCUCACCAUGCAGCCCUGGACAAUUGACCUCCAUUUUCUCCUGAAGGUGGGUAAAAGCAAUUUCUUCCUAAAUAAAGCCUCAUUUGAACACAAAGUCAUAUUAUCAUUACAGCAGGAGACUGCACAUUGCAGUAGUGGUGGGGAGUGAAGGUCGUACCUGGGUCUUGCAGGUAAUGACGUCUUGCUCAAAAGGCACAUUGUUUUUUCUCACUCAUUCUUUCCUUCACUAACAUAAUUGUCCAGUUCCUCAGAAAAGGAGCCUCAAAUAUUCAGCCUUUGUCUGUGUUUGGGUGACCAUCUGAAACAGUACAUGCGGAAUGGUUAAAAGAUGUUAUGAAAGGCUGGUGUCAUCUAGGAAUACUGGUUACAGUCACUUCUUGAAUUCAGGCAUCGCAGAAGCUCCUGACUCACUUGGGACAUUGCCUGCAGGCUGGUCACUUCACUGCUGAAUUUUCUGUCCUCUCUGGAUGCAUCUGCCUUCAGGUUGCCAUCACACCAGGCGUCCCUGUGCCCAGUUGUCACUGUGGUAUCCCAAACUGGAGCACUGGGUUGGUAUUUAUGAACUGCAACUGGGCUGGAGGGAGCUUCCCACUGAUGCUACGGCAUCACACCAGCCAGGAAAACCACAGGAGCAGAGGAAACUGCUGCCCACAGUGCCUCCUGCCAGCAGCUCACAUUUGCCAGAGCCACUGCCAAAUUUAUGACACUGCUCAUGUCUAGCCACUGCUUCAGCCUCACAUUGACAGCUAAAACCCAGCACUAGUAACUUAAAAGCUCUUCUGCUUUUGGCAAACUUGGCCACCUGCUGGGAAUGUACCUGGGACUAUUUACUCUUAAAAUGUCUUUUGGGAGUUGAU
Long non-coding RNA from Oxyura jamaicensis (ruddy duck), 1975 nucleotides. RefSeq lists it as uncharacterized. The transcript is spliced from 2 exons. The record is from RefSeq and is a predicted model, not a curated record. NCBI's taxonomy places the organism in Eukaryota, Metazoa, Chordata, Aves, Anseriformes, Anatidae.